This 465-nucleotide ribosomal RNA is filed under the name Vreelandella stevensii. Its description in RNAcentral is "partial 16S ribosomal RNA". It matches the Rfam family "Bacterial small subunit ribosomal RNA", at positions 338 to 795 of the family's 1533-position model. The record is from RNAcentral. Lineage: Bacteria; Pseudomonadati; Pseudomonadota; Gammaproteobacteria; Oceanospirillales; Halomonadaceae.
CCUACGGGUGGCAGCAGUGGGGAAUAUUGGACAAUGGGGGGAACCCUGAUCCAGCCAUGCCGCGUGUGUGAAGAAGGCCCUCGGGUUGUAAAGCACUUUCAGUGAGGAAGAACGCCUGGUGGUUAAUACCCAUCAGGAAAGACAUCACUCACAGAAGAAGCACCGGCUAACUCCGUACCAGCAGCCGCGGUAAUACGGAGGGUGCGAGCGUUAAUCGGAAUUACUGGGCGUAAAGCGCGCGUAGGUGGCUUGAUAAGCCGGUUGUGAAAGCCCCGGGCUCAACCUGGGAACGGCAUCCGGAACUGUCAAGCUAGAGUGCAGGAGAGGAAGGUAGAAUUCCCGGUGUAGCGGUGAAAUGCGUAGAGAUCGGGAGGAAUACCAGUGGCGAAGGCGGCCUUCUGGACUGACACUGACACUGAGGUGCGAAAGCGUGGGUAGCAAACAGGAUUAGAUACCCCGGUAGUC